GAUGAGCGCUGGCGGCGUGCCUAAUACAUGCAAGUCGAGCGAACGGACGAGAAGCUUGCUUUUCUGAUGUUAGCGGCGGACGGGUGAGUAACACGUGGAUAACCUACCUAUAAGACUGGGAUAACUUCGGGAAACCGGAUCUAAUACCGGAUAAUAUUUUGAACCGCAUGGUUCAAAAGUGAAAGACGGUCUUGCUGUCACUUAUAGAUGGAUCCGCGCUGCAUUAGCUAGUUGGUAAGGUAACGGCUUACCAAGGCAACGAUGCAUAGCCGACCUGAGAGGGUGAUCGGCCACACUGGAACUGAGACACGGUCCAGACCCCUACGGGAGGCAGCAGUAGGGAAUCUUCCGCAAUGGGCGAAAGCCUGACGGAGCAACGCCGCGUGAGUGAUGAAGGUCUUCGGAUCGUAAAACUCUGUUAUUAGGGAAGAACAUAUGUGUAAGUAAAUGUGCACAUCUUGACGGUACCUAAUCAGAAAGCCACGGCUAACUACGUG
RNAcentral lists this ribosomal RNA (497 nucleotides) under uncultured bacterium. RNAcentral's name for it is "partial 16S ribosomal RNA". It matches the Rfam family "Bacterial small subunit ribosomal RNA", at positions 28 to 507 of the family's 1533-position model. The record is from RNAcentral.